Molecule: ribosomal RNA, 933 nt
Filed under: uncultured bacterium
Lineage: Bacteria
Description: bacterial SSU rRNA
Rfam family: Bacterial small subunit ribosomal RNA
Source: RNAcentral
GCUAGGUGGAAGGAGAGGCGAACGGGUGAGUAAUACAUAAGCAACCUGCCCACGAAGACUGGGAUAAUCCUUGGAAACGAGGACUAAUACCGGGAUAGGUUACGAAUUCGCAUGAAUUUGUAAUUAAAGGUUAGAAACACUGGUGGAUGGGCUUAUGGUGCAUUAGCUAGUUGGUGAGGUAACGGCCCACCAAGGCGAUGAUGCAUAGCCGGGCUGAGAGGCUGAACGGCCACAUUGGGACUGAGACACGGCCCAGACUCCUACGGGAGGCAGCAGUAGGGAAUUUUCGGCAAUGGGGGAAACCCUGACCGAGCAACGCCGCGUGAGUGAUGAAGGUCUUCGGAUUGUAAAGCUCUGUUGUAAGGGAAGAAUGAAUUGGAUAGAAUCCGAUUGUGACGGUACCUUACCAGAAAGCUACGGCUAACUACGUGCCAGCAGCCGCGGUAAUACGUAGGUAGCGAGCGUUAUCCGGAAUUAUUGGGCGUAAAGGGUGCGUAGGCGGCUUGUUAAGUUUAAGGUGAAAGAAUGGGGCUCAACCCCAUAAAGCCUUAGAUACUGGCAAGCUAGAGUACUGGAGAGGGUAGUGGAAUUCCAUGUGUAGCGGUAAAAUGCGUAGAUAUAUGGAGGAACACCGGUGGCGAAGGCGGCUACCUAGACAGAGACUGACGCUGAGGCACGAAAGCGUGGGGAGCAAAUAGGAUUAGAUACCCUAGUAGUCCACGCCGUAAACGAUGAAUGCUAGAUAUCGGGGUAACUCGGUGUCGAAACUAACGCGAUAAGCAUUCCGCCUGUGGAGUAUGCACGCAAGUGUGAAACAUAAAGGAAUUGACGGGGGCCCGCACAAGCGGUGGAGUAUGUGGUUUAAUUCGACGCAACGCGAAGAACCUUACCAGGCCUUGACAUCCCUUGCAAAACUCUAGAGAUAGAGCAGAG